This 3154-nucleotide long non-coding RNA is filed under the name Strigops habroptila (Kakapo). RNAcentral's name for it is "lncRNA (ENSSHBG00005018073.1)". The record is from RNAcentral. Lineage: Eukaryota; Metazoa; Chordata; Aves; Psittaciformes; Psittacidae.
AGGCACACAGACAACCAAUUCAAGUAAGUGGUAGUAUUAAACACUGUCAAUUUCAAGACUGCUUUUAGAAGAAGAGAAUCGGUUUGAAAUCAAAGUAUAAAAUACAUUAGCACUAUUGAUAAUCAUGAUCAACCAUGGUUAAUAAUACAGAAGGAAACACUAAAAACAGCUCACUGCACUGCUUGUCACAGGCUGUAUAACAUUGUCAUGCCAUAUGGUAACAGAAAUUGCUCUGAAAAUAAUUGCAUUUUCAAGAUGGACAUCUUUACAGAUGAGACAUCGCUACUAAAAACAGAAGUGUAAAACACUACAGUCUGCAAUAAUAUGAAAUGUCACUAUGCAUUACAGUAUUUUGUUACUUCUGGGGGAAGAUUAAGGAGGAAAGGAACUGUGGUUUUAUCUCCCCAGAUUGUGCCAAAGAACUUGAAAAUAUUUAAAGAUUUGCAAGGUAUGAAAACCAGGCCAUGGCAUGGCAGUUAGAAGCUGAUGUUCUUUUUUAUUGGAUAACAAUUUUUUCUCAUGUUUUACUUUCCUCCUCAUCUUCUCUGUCAUCAUUGCCACUCAAAUGCCACCAAAGGUUCAAUAUGCUUUAAUUUUAAACAUUUUACAGUGGAUUCACAUAUCAUAUCAAUAAUAUUAGACUAUUAUGCCAAUACUACUGGAGAAACUAUUGUUAUAAUGUCAUUAUACAAGGCUGUUGGAUUUAUUUUUUUUUUAAUGUAUACUUUUUAGUUUUCUUGAUGUCUCAGCAAAAGAAACACUCACAAUAGGACUUUUUUCCUCACAAUCAAUAUCCAGGCUUGAAACAUCCUUAAGCGUUAUUCUGUUGCCAGUUAAUGUCUUCAGAUGUCCUUCCAGUUUUCACUGGCAAGCAAUAUCCAAUUUCAGGCAAGCAAUAUCCAAUUUCAGGGAGUAGUACACAAUACAAACCAACAUACAUAUAUGUGCCUUCACCAAAACAGGUAAUAUCAGAUGAAGAAAUCCAUUUGUUUUUUCGUUUGGUUGGUUUUUUUUAACUUAGAAAAGAAAGCAAGGGGGGUGGGGAAGGGAAAGGUUGUAAACAGAAAUUUGAAUCAAUCUUCAAAAAAAUAAGCAUGCUUUUUUCUCUGCCACCAGACUCUCUCGUGGUGCUCUCUUCCUCAAGCACUUUGCAGGUGUCCAUCACGACAUUCCUAAGCCUUUGUGCCUAGAACCAAAUACUUUUCAAAUCUCACACUCUGUGGGGCACAGCCUUCCAUCAUAAGAAACAAACAUAAAGAUGCCACUUUUGGUUUAAGCCUCAGAGCCAAGAACAGGGUGAGACAGAAAAGCCUACUGCUGCUCACCACUGCAAGGAAGAGGGCACUUUGGUCUAAACCAGUACAGAUGAUUUAUGAGCACACAUAUGCAAGACACUGUAGUACCACAAAAAUAUUCUCUGUUAGAACCAAAUACAUAUGAAAACAAAACGAUUUUUGGAGCACAGCUGGCACUGUAUAGAACUAAGUUGUGCUGUGUUGGUAGAUCCAUCAAUAAAUUGUUUUUAUUAAUUUAAUUGAAAACACAUUAAUAAAUAUUCUUUAGCAAACUUGCCUUUUAAUGUUGUUACUGUUGAUUACUUCUUUGCUCUGGUUAUUACUGGUGUACUCUACUACUCUAGAACACAAGGUACCUUAUUCUUGAUGGGACACAUACAUUUGUAACACCAAUAGGUGUUUUUUUAAUAACUUCAUCAAACCAGUUACAUGAAGGCUAAGAGGAAAUGAAUAACACUAGUAGAACAAAAAAAGGUUAAUUUCAGAUAUAUUUUGAUAAAAAUGCAUCAAGGACAAGCAUUUUAAAUUUAAGCCCCACUAUCUGGCUGAAACAAAGCUAUAGAGUGGGAAUUACACCAUGAGAAAUCCUUAGAAAUAUCUUCUUUCAACUACAUAACAAAAAGGAAAUCAGAUUGGUUUUUAAGUAUCUUGGAAAAUCACACAGCUAAGUACUACUGUGUUCUCACAUAAGACUUAACCUAAAGAAAACUACUUCCAUGCUUUUAGAAACGGCAUUUUCUUUAAAAUCUUUACAAAAGACUAACUCCUGGGGUUGGCAGGAAGGGAGGUUGGGGAGAAGGGGAGCCAUGGGAGUGGGGGAGGAGAGGAGGAAAGUUUUCCACAAAGGCUGGAUGGUUUUCAACACAAUUUAAAACAAAACUAAUUUUGUAAAAGGUCUCCUAAUUGACGAUGGUAAUACCAGCAUUCUAAAUAAUUUCUACACCAAGUCUACAAACCCUUUUCUUCUAAAAAAAAAAUUAAAUAAUUUACAGCUAUGAAAAAUAUGAAAACUAGUGAGUAUAGCAGAUAUAUGUUUUCAUUCAUAUCUUACUUCCAGCAAAAAUCAUCACUGGAACAAUAAAAAUAUCUGGCAUUUAUCUGAUCAAGAUUCAUUCUCUUUGAAAAAGGCUGUAAGAGACUAUUUUGCAUUUCUUGAGAUGAUAAGUGUCAAACAUGGCUAUUAAAAAUGCAUGGAAACUGAAAAUAUACUCUAAUAUACUCAAACUAAGAUCAGCAGUCCAUACUGGCCUCAGAAUCAUCCAUGGAGAAGAUCUGCUUUCAGUCUAAAUGUCUUUUUAAAAGAAAACUGCAGGCUCAUCGAUGUAACUACUAAUUAACCUGCUAACUCCAGAUGCAAUCAUCAUCUUGUAAAGAAUACAAGACCUUCAUCAACUUCAUGUAAUAAAAACUUGGUUUAAGAUACAAGUAAUGGGAAUAUAAACAGAAAUAUUAUACACUCAGGUGCUUACUUUUUGAAUAUGUAAGCGCAGAUCAGCUUCUAGAGUGGCAAGGGUUUAGUUUGAAGAUGGACAGUAAGAAUCUCCAAUUGCUGACUAAAGUUGACUGUCACCAGACUCGUAGACAAGAAUUCCAAAGGCAAAUUAGUGCAUACUGGUGUUUCUUCUCAGGUUGUUAUGACAAAUAUGUCUAUGAUGAGGACAGUCCCUCUGCCACAGCGAAGGGAAACAGGUGGGAUGUCAGGUCUCUGAAGUAAAUAAAUCCUUGUUGAAUACCUAUUGAGAACUAUGUAAGAAUGUCUUGUGGGAUGUGGAUGGGGCUUCUCUCCUUUGGCAGAAGAUUUCCAAAUUUUCUUUCCCUCAUUUCUUUUGUCUUUGGUUUUGGGGUUUUUUGUUUGUUUG